UACAGAGGUCUCAAGCGUUGUUCGGAUUCAUUGGGCGUAAAGGGUGCGUAGGUGGCGCUGUAAGUCGGGUGUGAAAUUUCGGAGCUUAACUCCGAAACUGCAUUCGAUACUGCGGUGCUUGAGGACUGGAGAGGAGACUGGAAUUCAUGGUGUAGCAGUGAAAUGCGUAUAGAUCAUGAGGAAGACCAGUGGCGAAGGCGGGUCUCUGGACAGUUCCUGACACUGAGGCACGAAGGCCAGGGGAGCAAACGGG
This 253-nucleotide ribosomal RNA is filed under the name uncultured bacterium. RNAcentral's name for it is "partial 16S ribosomal RNA". It matches the Rfam family "Bacterial small subunit ribosomal RNA", at positions 524 to 776 of the family's 1533-position model. The record is from RNAcentral.